GCCAUCGUGGCGCAAUGGUAGCGCAUCACCUUCCUAUAUCAGGAAGUGUCAGGUGGGGGUUGCGGGUUCGAUCCCCGUCGGUGGUA
Molecule: transfer RNA, 86 nt
Organism: Trametes pubescens
Lineage: Eukaryota; Fungi; Basidiomycota; Agaricomycetes; Polyporales; Polyporaceae
Rfam family: tRNA
About the family: Transfer RNA (tRNA) molecules are approximately 80 nucleotides in length. Their secondary structure includes four short double-helical elements and three loops (D, anti-codon, and T loops). Further hydrogen bonds mediate the characteristic L-shaped molecular structure. tRNAs have two regions of fundamental functional importance: the anti-codon, which is responsible for specific mRNA codon recognition, and the 3' end, to which the tRNAs corresponding amino acid is attached (by aminoacyl-tRNA synthetases). tRNAs cope with the degeneracy of the genetic code in two manners: having more than one tRNA (with a specific anti-codon) for a particular amino acid; and 'wobble' base-pairing, i.e. permitting non-standard base-pairing at the 3rd anti-codon position.
Source: Rfam